Cinclus cinclus is the source of this 9335-nucleotide long non-coding RNA. RefSeq lists it as uncharacterized. The record is from RefSeq and is a predicted model, not a curated record. Lineage: Eukaryota; Metazoa; Chordata; Aves; Passeriformes; Cinclidae. The transcript has 3 exons.
UAAUAACUGGGAGGCAGUGGGUCGGCAGAGUAACAAAGCCCAGUGCUUUCAUGUGGGCCCUGCAGACAGACCUGUGCCCCGUCUGCCCCCGUUCCACUUGAAAGAGAAGGAAUCUGUGUGAAUUGGAAGGAUUUCGUGUGUCUUUCAGCCCCUCGUUUAAAACCGAGCGUGUGACCCCUGCACGGCAAACCUGAGCCCAGCUCCGCUGACCCGCGGCUGAACCCUUGCUGCUCCAGCCCCCGGGAAUGCAGGCGCUGGCUGUGUCCAGCCUGAGUUGCCUUAAACCUUAGAGCCCCUGAAGGCUUUUCCGCUUUUUGUUUUCAGGGUUUGUCUGCGGGCCAGAUGACGGCUUAACUCGGCUGACCUUCCUCCCCCAGCGAGGCUGACACCGGUGCACGAUAUCGAUCCCACUGCGGUACGGGAGGUGCAGGCAGAGCACCGAGAGGCGCUCACCUCCUACCGUGUACCACUGUGAACUCUCAGAAAGUAAAAUUGCUUGCUCAGGAGGCUGAUAGAGUAAAUCAUCAAAAAUACCCGCUGUCCAUUGUGCCUCUUGACAUUCAUUAUGCUGCAGUGUUACUUGUUUUAUUGACUCAUUACAAGGAUAUAAUGCAUUGGGAAGUUAGAAACUUGCCAAGGGAAGUGUCUGCUGUCCCAUAAAUUGUCCGUCUGAUUUUGUAGCACGUUACAUUUAAAGGCAGGUCAUAAUGUUCCCAAUCAGUUACCAAAAGGUAAGCCUUUAACUAAAAGUGACAUGAGUGAGGAGCUGAGGAACUUGCUUCAAAUUGGAGCACUGAAAAUCAGGCCAGUUUGAAUUAACUGCUGGUGGAGCCUAGCUCUGAAAACACUGGCUGCUAUCGUCAAGUUCAAAGCUUGCCUUUUGAAACAGAUCCAGGGAAUGAGCAAGCAUUAAAAUAUUCCAGACAACUCCAGGCUGCUAAUUCAGUGGUGCUGACCCUGCCUGCUCCACUAAGGGGCCUGACACAGCACACGUGCUAUCACCACUGGAUAUGCAUCUGCUUGACUGCAGACAGGUUCUUCAGCUGGAACCAAAUCCACACACUGCGUGUUGUACAAGAGGGAAAUUUGGGAUUGGGAUAAGCAAGGGUCAGGUUUUUUUCCCCUCCAAGUAUUCUUGCAUUGACUGAGUAGGUAACUGUACAAGUAAGAUGGAUUGUAACAGGAGCUGCUUUGAUUUUUGAACAACUGAUUGACCUUUUUCUCCCAUUUAUGAAUCUGAUACAUAUUAAUUUGAUAAUUUCUUUCAGCAAAUUUUUGAGCUGCAGCAUAGAGAGCUGCAGCAAACAUUUGUUUUCUUUAUUGCUUAUUUAUCAAAUGUCAUCAUGCACCAGAGGUCUGCAGGAGCUUAUCACUUCCCAGGGACAAGAUGACUGCAAGAACUUUCUGAUGGGGAACAGUCCGUGCAGUCUUCUGCCUACAAUAAACUUUUUUUUUCCCUGUAUGUGGGCAAAAAGACAGAAUAUCACAGACAUUAAAAAACACAUUGAAGCUCUCAUUGUGUUUAAGCUGCAGUAUAUAUUAGGAUAUGGCAUUUGUCUAAUGAUGAGUCUUAUGGCUGAGGUGUUAAAAAAGAAUUAGUCUAGGCAAUUUAGCCACCAAGCAGCUGCUGAUAUUACCAGAAGCAAGCUGAUUGACUUGUAAGUCUCCAAUUAUAAUCCAUGCUAUAAUUAUGAUUAUACUUCUCCAUAGAGCACUACUGAGCCUCCACCUUUGACUCAUACCAGAUUCCCACUGAAGUCAGCAGGAGCUGUGCUUGAGAUGGGGUUUUCACAGGCAGCACUGUUUGUCCUAAAGUAAACAAGCUGUUCCUGUAAAUUGCUUCCCCAAAAUUGACUGUUUUCUCCUAUAUAUGGUCAUAGAUCUAAUCAGGCACAGAGCUUUACUUUGUUCUGACACAGGAGCAAAGUCAGGUUUAAGGCACUGGUACUCUGGUGCGUCUUCAGACUUGUCCUGCUCUAUAAAAGUCUUAACUUUCACAAGUCUUAACUUAGAGGUUAGCCCAAGUCUCCAUCCAGACUAAUGAAUUAAUUUUUAUUAACUCAGGCUAAUAAUUCAGUAUCAAGAAUGCCCUGGUUGCCUGUAAAUCUUAUUCUCAUUAGUUUUUGUGCAGACAAGUAAAAUGUAUUUAAUUGAUUUAAUCAUCAUGAUUAAAAGGAGGUAAGUAGAUUUAUGCAAGAGGAGUAAAUACUCAGGUUUGCUGUGGAAAGCUUACACAGGAAAAAUCUAUCUUCAUCUCCUACCUUAUUACACACUCAGGAAAACUAUGUAUUGAUCGUGGGUGAAGUUGUGAGUUGUCUGGCCAGCACUACAAGUGAGGAAAGGUACUUUGGAAGCAGAUUUCCAUUUUUGUAGAAAAAGAGGAAACAAAGACCAUAAACCAGGGACAACACGAAACAGCAAAAUUCAUAAGACUAUAAUUAUUCAUGUUAAGAUGCGCAAUGUGAGAAGAGGAUCUUCAUAUUAGGAAGUUUCUGUAAAGGCUAGUCAGACAAAUUGCCCCCAUUAUCUUGAUAAUCACUUUUUUAAGCCAUGAAAAACAUAAAUCUCCCAUCUUGCAGCAGAUCUGUGGAGGUACAAUCCCAUGGGAUUCUGCAUGGCACUACCGGCCUGUUAAAGUCGGUCAGAGGGGGGUGUAGGACUGCCAUCUCUGAUUGUGUUUAAAUGGUCUUCUGUUCUCUUAUUUCUGGGAGGAAUAGGAACUUCACCCUUUUGGUAUUUGUCUGGGACUCAAAGAGCAUGUGGCAGAAGUACAUGGACAUUUCUUUAUUGAGAGUUUUCAGAAAUAUUAUUACAGCUGUCCUUAAACACUAUGUUCUACACUUCCCUGUGUCCUGUAUAGUGCUCUGCUACAUGAUAGCUGUGUAACCUAAAGCCAUACUAGCAUCUUAAGUUUCGACUUUUUAUUACUGGCUCUUUUAAUCUCAGGCUUUUGUUUGUUGUUUGUUUUUACCGCCUCACCUUUCCAAAAUUUGCAUUAUUAAAUACUUAUAAUCAAUUGCUGAAGCAGAAUGAAGACAUCACUCAGAAUGUUCUCCAUUGUAGUGGUGGCUACAGUGUGUUGUUACCCUGUGGUAUUUGAGCUUGUAUACAGGAAUGAUUGCUGUCUCCUCAGAGGGCUGGGGCACAAGGAGCUGUCCUGGUUUUGCAGAGAGUACAAUUUGGCUAUUGGCCAUAACACCACAUAAACCCUGUGGCUUAAGUGGUGUUAGGAGAAAGGCACAGCCUGCCCAUGGUUUCAUAGCAAGUUUGGGGUCUUGCAGUACCAAGGCCCUGAGCCCACACUUUUCACAACGAGCUCAAUGCCUUCACUUGCUAAUCUACAGCCAUGCUCUGCAAGACAGUAGGAGAAGCUCUCUCACUGAGCACUUGUUGGCUUGUUUCUGUUGGGAGGGAUCCUGAAAUUUCAAAAGUCGAGUCAUCAUUUUUUUCUCUGCCUUACUUUCGCAAAAUUAUAAGGCGAGGCUUCCUAAUGUGCAACCACUUGCAAUUGAUCAGGCAGUGACUGUCUGAGAGGAUCUCAGGGAGCUCCUACCUGGAGCCAGGUUAAUCUGCUUUCAAAAUUUCUGUGACCUGCAGCCACGGUGGGGGUGGCAGGAGCCUUUUCAAGAGAAACGAGUGUCAUCUAGUGGUGAAACAAACCCACCCAAUCACACCCCAAGGGCCACCACCUGCCCACCCACUGGUGACAGAUCACUGGGCAACACAUUUUGUUUCUUCCACACUUUAACAGCCUAAUGCAGAAUGUAUGGAGUAAUGCUUCUUUUAGCUUUCAUCCUUGUGGGAUUUCUUUUAUGCAAGCUAAUGGGAAAUAAUAUGAGCCCAUAGCUAAGCAGGCAGCAGACGCUAAUGGCUCUCCUGCUGAGGUUUUUCUGUCCUUGUGAUGAGAUACAGGAAGGGUCUGUCUCCUUGGGAACAGUGACCACCAGCUCCCUACGAAUUAAGUAAGAAUAUUACAGGACAAAGGACUGUUUAAAGCUCUAUUUACUUAUAUUGUAUGUGUCCACUGGACAUCUGCAUUUCAUAGCAAAUUUUUUCCCAAACUCCUUUGCCUUCUUUCACACAUAAAUCCAGAUUUAUUAGCGAAGCAGAGCAUGAACAUAGUAAUUUUCCUGUAGUUGGUCAAAUAAGAAAGGAGAAACAUCUUCUCACCAUGAGCAUCACUAGCAGAGGAGCAUGCAGGGACAGGUGGCUGAGCUGGUAACAAAGUGGAAUGGAGAAAUACUGUCUGGUUAUGUAACAUUUUCCCGUUGUGACUUCCUGGCAGAUCAUGACAGUAACUGUAAAGGAAGAAAUCCAGCUCAAGGUGUUGUGCAGGUCUUCUGAGGGAAAACUGACUCAAUCUAGUCAGCUAGAACUUAUCAUGUAAAAUUACUGCCAGUCAUUGCUCAGUACACAUUUUCAAGUGCAGAAACCUACCUUUCUUUGGAACAAAGGGGAACUAGCAUAUUUGCAGCUGAUGCCAAGGACUUAGACUUAAAAAAAAAUCCCAAGUGCUUCCCAGUUGAGCUGGUGAAUGAAGGAUGUGGCACAACCCAGCCUUAGAGCAGUGGGCAGUGAAAAUCUCAGGAUUUAGUCCCCCUUCUAGGAAGGCUAAAUAAAGGCAUGCCUUGUUUUCCAAAUGGUGCUUUAUCUUCCACCAUUUCCUGCUAGAGUAGGCCUUGGGGAGCCACACCAGGCACGUUUCAUGAUCCUAAGGGUGAAUGCGUGGGGGGAAAGCCUAAUAAAAAGCACCGAAUCCCUUUUGCGAAGCUGCCUGUGUGACACGGCACUGGGCAGGGCGCGGAUCAGCCAGGUAGUCAGGAGCCCUUGGCAAGCCGAGGGCAGCGAAGCAUAUGGGGCUUUCUUUCCCCUGUGUCGCUCUGCGCCCGGAGCCACCGGGGAAAGAGGCUGGGGAGCCUCCGGCUCUCGCUCUGUGCCAGCCCAUCAGCUUCCACCUCCCGCUUCCCGGGAAAGCGCUCCCGGCGGCGCUCACGCUCCGCACUCCCAUUUGCCAGCCCGCCUGCGUCAGCGCUAAUACCGAGCUCAGCUGCUCAUCAUCCCAGCUGAUAAUGUCGCGGGAGGAAUUAGGCAAGGCAUGCUGGUAGGAGGGAGAGAGAGGACUUGAGGGAGAGUAAUCACAGGCACAGUGAUGGGAAAUAAAUGAGAUCAGAAAAACAACCCUCAAACAGGCUAUUCUCAGGCUAGAAGGGAGUGUAUUUUUAGGACAUGGGGCUAUUUCAGUCUCAGCUGUGGGGAGCCACGGGAGACCAGCAGGUCUCCCUAGUAUUUCAGCGGGGUUUGCUUCAAGGCUGAAAUGAGGGAGUUGCCACAGGGCACUUGGCAUUCAGCUGAGUUGCAGAAAAGCUAAAUGGGUGAGCUGAUAGGCUGGAUUGUCCCCUUGCCAACAGAUGAGAUGUGGCAAGAGGCAGGGGAGGGCUCACAGAUGCUACUGCUUCUGCAUGGGCACUGUGCAGUAUUUCCCUCUUCAGAAAAAAGUGGUAAGGUUUUUGCUCACACGGCUUCUGCCUGAGAUUUGGAGCAGACCCCCCAUGGAAAUAGUAUUAAUGAGAAGAGGUCAUACCAUAGUCUGAUAAAACCAUGGGAGGUCCUGGCCAUGCAAGCAGCACUGUUCACUGCAUAGCAGCCAGCUGGAGUCCAGUUCCCAGUAUCUCCCUCGACAGCAGGCAGAGCAGAGUGCUCUGUCAAAAGAAGGCAUACGUUUAAUCAGUUCCUGUGGUGCUGUAAAACUCAAAUUUAAUUUGAAUUCUUUAAAUACACCUUGGCAUUUUAACCACUGCUAGCAGUAGAGUAGUGUUACACUCCUAGUUAUUUCCCUACAGAAUGUCUCUCUUCCCACUGAAAGUCACUAAACAUUUUGAAAACACUGUGGCAAGGUCAAGGAUGUUUUGCAAAAUCUUUAUCUGUGUAACCUAAAUGGACCUGGCAACAGAACAGAUUGUGCUCUGAACUUGGGGGAAAAAGGUGAAAUAUCUCAUCCCCAUUAGUUCUGCUCUGUGUAUGUGGCAGUAAAUUCAGGGUGACUUCCAUCUCCAAAUGGUGCCUGACAUCUGGAGUUUCAGUCCCUGGAUUGUCUGGUUUUGUGUAUCAUGUAGCUGGUUCUCCCAAAAGCCACGAAGUGACCAUUGAAGGAAAGUUUUGUAUCCAGAGCACCAGUCUGGGCCAUCCACAGAGCCACAGACCAGAAUUCUCAGCUUAGAAAACUGCCUUUCAUGGCCACCAGAGAAGAAACAAGUAUGACAGUGCAGAAUGAGUUUUUUUAUAAAUGAGUGUUGUGUCAUGACUAGCACAUCUGGAACCAAAUACUGUAAUCAUUUGUGCCCGUGUUUUGCUCAUUUUUUCUGUGCAUGUGAUUAAUUUUGGACAUAUAUUUUCCACAUCUCCAAAUGUUCAGCAAAGUUCAACACUAAAUUAUUGUUUAACAAUCAAAAAAUUGCUUUCUCACACCUUUUAUUUUCCUUUUUCUUCUUGCUAACUGGCCUCCCGGAGAAACACCAUUAGUGUGAUGCUGGAAUCAAAAGCUUUAGCAAAGAUUUUCAGAGUGACUGAGGGAGAAUUGUCAAGGGAAGAGUGUCUGCAUAUUUGGCCUCAGAAGAUAAGCCCAAAAAGGAGACACCUUGGUGACUGAAUUCUUGGAUGGAUGUGAGAUGAGACAAGAAACAGCUGCUAUUGCAUCCACAAGGACUGAAGCAAAGCCUACCAAGAGGAAUGCAGUGAUGAUGGGACCAUUCUCCCAUUCUCCAUUUUGCAGAAUGAAGAUGUCCAACAGUAACCAGCACAGGGACUUCUGCACAAAGGGACCAGGUUAGGGAGGGUUGUACUUGAGCUUUCUGUCCCAGUGGCUAAUAGUCUUGUCCCUCUCUAAGAAAACUUCAAAUGCCUAAAUAUCCCAAGGUGCAAAAUUUGUUGAAACCUGUGCAUCAUGUCUCUGCCGUGGCACAUCAUGAGAAUCAGUGCUUACAGGUCUAACUGGUGUCCAUUUUUAGACCAGAGGAAAAAUCUUCAAUCUUGGAAGCACUGGGAAGUUUGCAAAACCAAGCCCUACUCAGCUCCAGGCAUUCAUACACUCAUCAGUGCUCACUGCUGUUGUUUCUCUGCCAAUCACCUUACCCAAUGUGAAGAUGUGUCACAACACUGAGCAAACAUGGAAACAGCCACUUUAAUCAAGCAUAUUUUCCCCAUAUGGUAACUUUCCUUUACCAUGGUAGUCCAGCUUUAACACAGAUUUUAUAGAGAGAAAAUUUACAAGCAAUAAAAAUUAACAGCCAGUAUAUAUGCAACAAACAAAUCAACAUCCCCCCCCCCCCCCCCUCCAUAGUGUGUGCCUGAGUGGAUCUAAUUCAAGCUGUGACUAAAUUGUGGUUGCAUUUCCAUGAGAUAUUUUGCCUAAGGAUGUGCAGUGUAUGCAGUGGAUGAUUCACUUCAGUGAGAACCAGACCAGGGCUGACAAGGAAGGAGUUCUGAGGACAAGCACAGAGAAAGAGCCAUAACAGGACAGGAAAGCCACACAAUGAUUGUGUUGCCAUGCCCUUAGAGCAGUAACAGGGCAGGGAAGUGACAGCCUUCAUUCCCAUGUGCCUGUGAAGAACUUCACUGACUCUCUUCAUCUUCACCAAUUCCUCCCCAUAAAGAAAAGAAAGCCCAGAGUAAUGUGGUUGGAUACUGGGAUAGUUCAUGUUUCUAAGCACUCUCUCUGCCUCAGAUUGCCUUACAGUUAGAGCUCCUUCUUCUCCACACACACCUGAAGGACAGUUCUGGGAGCACAUCUUUCCCAGAAGUCUCACGAGGACUGGGGAGCAGGUGCUUGGCUAGAAGUAAUCCUCACAGCUGUCUGGUUCAUGUUUUGUUAAUACAAGCACAUAAUUUCCACUGGGUAGAUUAGAGUAUUAAUGGCAACAGAACAAUAAAUGUCUGUGCAAUCAGCAAUUGACGUCUUGUAUUUGUCAUGCCACCAAAUAUCUUGUUUCCAAAUUAUAGAACAGUUAGUUGUCUGGUGAAUGGAAUUGGGCUGUGAUAAUUUAUAUGUAUGAAUGAUAUUUUAAGACCCACUUGUUUUUGCAUCUUGUUCAAACAUUGCCAGGAUGGAUGUGGGGUAGAUGGAGAAGCAUACAUACAUUCUGUUUUCAGAGAGGCUUCUGUUCUAAUCUUGCAGUGUGACUGAGGGAUCUGUCUCUCCGGGUAUUCAUUUUCAGUAAGACUUGGAAAGGAGAAGACAAACCAAACACAGCACAGCAUCUGAGGACAUAAUGUUUUCAGAGUUGGCUGGCAGUGGUAGUCUGUUGUUCUAUCAAAACAAAGAUGAUGUGACAGCUCUGCCUGUCAGUCUUUGCCCAAAUUUCUCAUUCCUUCCAUUUCUCCUUUUCCAUCAGCAGCAUCACCUCAGUCAAAUUUGGCAAAGGAAGUGAGGGAUAGUAUCUCAGAGAUACUAAGUUCCUGCAGUUUUUGCCAAAGCCAGAAAGAGACCCUGCUGGAGCCCACACUGGGGGAGCGGCCAGUCAUUACAUACACAGCUCCAGGUGCUUCAGUCAUUUGCUGCUUUUUGUCCAAUGAUUUUCUGCUCUUUGCACAAUUGAGAGGCCAAACACCAGUGGGUGGAGUGGGACAAAGGAAGAGCAUGGAGGGAUUAUGGGGGUGCUGGAUGCAGGAGGUAGAGCUCAAAUAAACAGUUGUUUCUAGUGAAUGCAAUGGAAAUACAUUUUAAGAGAAAUGAGGGAGAAGAGGGAGAAAUAGUUAAGGCUCAAACCCAAGGAAAGAUAAGUAUCUACAUUUAAAAUGUUCUCAAUUUUCAAUUCUUUAUUCAACCACGUAAUUAUUUGCUUUGAUAGCAUGCAUUUGACUAAUUUGCAUAAUUUUCUUUAUUAGUAACAGUGAAAGGUGAUCUCAGACUCAGGAGAUGCUUUGCAGCCUGUGGUGAUUCCAUGAUAAGGUGAACUUGCAGUAGCUACUUUACAAUUUGUAUUUUUGUUUUAGUGGGGAUGGGAGAGUACUGUCUCCUCUUAGGGACUUGGGCAGUUUUGAGAGCUAGUGAUAUCUAAUGCCAAGUCAGCAGAGAGGAAUGUUUUAUGGGCAAAUUCAAACAAUUAUCUCCAAGCAUGACAGCAAUGGGAAAAUAUGUAUGACCAUAGGAAAUAUUUAUGGUCCACGAUCAGAAGAAUGUAAAGAUAGAGAAAGCAAGAAUUAUUAUGGCCAGAGCAGUCAGGGGUUACCUGACACUAGUCUGUGGCAACCUAAAUUUUCCUACUUCCAUACUGGUGGGGUUCCUCAUUCUAGCUAAGUUUGCUGGCAUGUUGACUGCUCUGUUCCAUUGUAUAGUGACC